Long non-coding RNA from Ailuropoda melanoleuca (giant panda), 1510 nucleotides. RefSeq lists it as uncharacterized. The record is from RefSeq and is a predicted model, not a curated record. NCBI's taxonomy places the organism in Eukaryota, Metazoa, Chordata, Mammalia, Carnivora, Ursidae. The transcript has 3 exons.
UCUUAACCUCCAACUCUCUUUAUAGCUUUGAAUAGCACUAGACAGAAUCAUCCACGGGAGUUUUAUUGGCAAAGAGCGUGCUACCCACAUGUUUCAGAAGUUUAUGAAAGGGACACAUCACUCCGUGGGAGGACAUGUUCCUCCCUCCAGUGGACACUGCAUCCCGCCUUGGCCACGGUUCUGCAUAUGCUCACGUUCGGACUGUUUGUAGACUUCCGCUCCAAGAUCUGUAGCUGAAUAGCCUCCCACAUCCCACAGGACAAAGUCAGUCGCUUUGUCCGUGACCCCACUUGCAAAAAGAGCUGGGCGUUGGGUGCAGCAAGGGGCGGCUGGUGCCCAGUUUCCCUCGCAGGUGUCUGCACCAGUGGAGCCCACUUCGAGUUCAAGCCUGAGGUUCUCCUUGGUCUGACCUGCCUUUUCCUGUAACAGGUUCCCGGUGAGGCACCAGUGCAGUAAUACUGACCGCAGAGGAAAGCCUCUGAGGUCCUCUCACCUGGUCCCUCCUCUUUGUCCCACCCCUGCUCUCUCAAACUGCUCCCAUACGUGGGGACAUGCACGGCAGCCAGCGGCUCCUGUUCACCUCCCUCCCCAGGGUCAGCUCUUGUAGCAGGAGCCCGCAGAGAGCAGUGGUUCAGCAAGACUGAAGUUUAUUGCUCUCAUGGAAAGACCAGAUGAGCAACCCCCCCGCCCCGACCCGGGCUGGUGGGGCAGAGACUCCGGCAGCGCCGCCCCCGGAGCUCCCUGGCUGCUCCCUGUGCCUGCUGCCUCACGGUCUGAGGGCCUGCCGGGGCACCAGCCAUCCAGGCUGCAUCUAGCCAGCUGGAAGGAUGGAGGGCAACGGAGGGCACCUCCUUCCUCCCCUCCUUAGGCUCAGGAGGGUUCUAGCAGCGGAAACCGAGCCUCAGGAGGUGGAAGCACUUGACUGUCGUCAGUCGGGUUAUCGGCUGUAGAAUUAGGAUCCGCACCCAGUCUCUAGUGACCCAGGUCGGGGUCCUUGGCACCAGGCCUCGCUCUGUGCUCUGCUGACGUUACAAUCCCAAGCUCGUGUCACCUCACUUUUUACUUCUUUCUAACUUUGCCACAGAUACAGUCUUUUUCUCCCUCUGCAUGAACUCUGGAAACAGUACAUCCGGGACCUGUGCGGGGGACUCAGGCCAGACACUCACAAAAUCCAAAUGCCGCUCCUAUGUGGGUGUUACAGGAAUCCUUCUACAGGAAACAAAGCAUGUCUUCAGAAUCCUCACCAAAGAAGACCGCCUGAAAGCUAAACAGUGUGUUCACAGUGGAAAUCGAUGGCUUCAUUUCCUACAUUUAUGGAAGCAAAUUCCAGGUUUGGUCAAGUGAGUGAUCUGUCAAGAAGUUCAAAGCCAAGGGAACAGUUGACCUGUGAGCUGUUUGCCAUGGACGCAACUGUUUUGACCCCAAGCACCAGGAACACCUGAGUGCCCACGUGUCAGCGAACAGAUGGCCGGGUCGGCUCUGGUUCUAGAGCGCCCCCCCCCCAGCCCAU